UACAGAGGUCCCAAGCGUUGUUCGGAUUCACUGGGCGUAAAGGGUGCGUAGGUGGUCGGGUAAGUCUGAUGUGAAAUCUCCGGGCCUAACCCGGAAACUGCAUCGGAUACUGUUCGGCUAGAGGGUUGGAGGGGGGACUGGAAUACUUGGUGUAGCAGUGAAAUGCGUAGAUAUCAAGUGGAACACCAGUGGCGAAGGCGAGUCCCUGGACAACUCCUGACACUGAGGCACGAAAGCUAGGGGAGCAAACAGG
RNAcentral lists this ribosomal RNA (253 nucleotides) under uncultured bacterium. Its description in RNAcentral is "partial 16S ribosomal RNA". It matches the Rfam family "Bacterial small subunit ribosomal RNA", at positions 524 to 776 of the family's 1533-position model. The record is from RNAcentral.